This 572-nucleotide ribosomal RNA is filed under the name Neonectria sp. O_2_BESC_883k. RNAcentral describes it as "eukaryotic LSU rRNA". It matches the Rfam family "Eukaryotic large subunit ribosomal RNA", at positions 1 to 585 of the family's 3401-position model. Lineage: Eukaryota; Fungi; Ascomycota; Sordariomycetes; Hypocreales; Nectriaceae. The record is from RNAcentral.
ACCUCGGAUCAGGUAGGAAUACCCGCUGAACUUAAGCAUAUCAAUAAGCGGAGGAAAAGAAACCAACAGGGAUUGCCCUAGUAACGGCGAGUGAAGCGGCAACAGCUCAAAUUUGAAAUCUGGCCUUCGGGUCCGAGUUGUAAUUUGUAGAGGAUGCUUUUGGUGAGGUACCUUCCGAGUUCCCUGGAACGGGACGCCAUAGAGGGUGAGAGCCCCGUCUGGUUGGAUACCGAUCCUCUGUAAAGCUCCUUCGACGAGUCGAGUAGUUUGGGAAUGCUGCUCUAAAUGGGAGGUAUAUGUCUUCUAAAGCUAAAUAUUGGCCAGAGACCGAUAGCGCACAAGUAGAGUGAUCGAAAGAUGAAAAGCACUUUUGAAAAGAGAGUUAAAAAGUACGUGAAAUUGUUGAAAGGGAAGCGCUCAUGACCAGACUUGGGCUUGGUUGAUCAUCCAGGGUUCUCCCUGGUGCACUCUUCCAGCCCAGGCCAGCAUCAGUUCGCUGUGGGGGAUAAAGGCUUCGGGAAUGUGGCUCCUCCGGGAGUGUUAUAGCCCGCUGCGUAAUACCCUGUGGUGGA